GAUGAACGCUGGCGGCGUGCCUAAUACAUGCAAGUCGAGCGAACAGAUAAGGAGCUUGCUCCUUUGACGUUAGCGGCGGACGGGUGAGUAACACGUGGGUAACCUACCUAUAAGACUGGAAUAACUCCGGGAAACCGGGGCUAAUGCCGGAUAACAUUUAGAACCGCAUGGUUCUAAAGUGAAAGAUGGUUUUGCUAUCACUUAUAGAUGGACCCGCGCCGUAUUAGCUAGUUGGUAAGGUAACGGCUUACCAAGGCAACGAUACGUAGCCGACCUGAGAGGGUGAUCGGCCACACUGGAACUGAGACACGGUCCAGACUCCUACGGGAGGCAGCAGUAGGGAAUCUUCCGCAAUGGGCGAAAGCCUGACGGAGCAACGCCGCGUGAGUGAUGAAGGUCUUCGGAUCGUAAAACUCUGUUAUUAGGGAAGAACAAAUGUGAAAGUAACUGUGCACGUCUUGACGGUACCUAAUCAGAAAGCCACGGCUAACUACGUG
RNAcentral lists this ribosomal RNA (497 nucleotides) under uncultured bacterium. RNAcentral describes it as "partial 16S ribosomal RNA". It matches the Rfam family "Bacterial small subunit ribosomal RNA", at positions 28 to 507 of the family's 1533-position model. The record is from RNAcentral.